This 393-nucleotide ribosomal RNA is filed under the name Olmecazomus cruzlopezi. RNAcentral describes it as "partial small subunit ribosomal RNA". The record is from RNAcentral. Lineage: Eukaryota; Metazoa; Arthropoda; Arachnida; Schizomida; Hubbardiidae.
AUUUAGUGAAGUUAAUGAAAAGUGAUUAGAUUUUAUAUGAAGUUCAAAUGUAAAGUUUUAAGAUGUUGGCGGUGUUUUAUUAAAUUCUGAGAAUCUUGCAUAGUUAAAAUGAUAAUACACAAAUAAUCUUAUCUUAUUAAAAAUUUAAAUCAAAUAUUAAGUUUAUUUAUUGCUGUUUAAUUAAUUUAUUAAUAUAGGGUAAUGGUAAUUAAUGAAAUUGUUCAAUAUAUAAGAAAUUCAAGUCAUGAUGUAGUAAUAGUAAGGUUUAUGUGAGUUGCAGUUUUUUAGAAAUAAAAGAAAUUGGUAAAAUAGAAUUGAAAUAUCUAUAAAAAUUAGGAUUAGGAUGUAAAAAAAAAAAAUAAUUAGUUUUUUUGAUAAAUUUUAUAAACAUGU